Molecule: ribosomal RNA, 731 nt
Filed under: uncultured bacterium
Lineage: Bacteria
Description: bacterial SSU rRNA
Rfam family: Bacterial small subunit ribosomal RNA
Source: RNAcentral
AACAGGAUUAGAUACCCUGGUAGUCCACGCUGUAAACGAUGUCGACUUGGAGGUUGCGCCCUUGAGGCGUGGCUUCCGGAGCUAACGCGUUAAGUCGACCGCCUGGGGAGUACGGCCGCAAGGUUAAAACUCAAAUGAAUUGACGGGGGCCCGCACAAGCGGUGGAGCAUGUGGUUUAAUUCGAUGCAACGCGAAGAACCUUACCUACUCUUGACAUCCAGAGAAUUUGCUAGAGAUAGCUUAGUGCCUUCGGGAACUCUGAGACAGGUGCUGCAUGGCUGUCGUCAGCUCGUGUUGUGAAAUGUUGGGUUAAGUCCCGCAACGAGCGCAACCCUUAUCCUUUGUUGCCAGCGAGUAAUGUCGGGAACUCAAAGGAGACUGCCGGUGAUAAACCGGAGGAAGGUGGGGAUGACGUCAAGUCAUCAUGGCCCUUACGAGUAGGGCUACACACGUGCUACAAUGGCAUAUACAAAGAGAAGCGAACUCGCGAGAGCAAGCGGACCUCAUAAAGUAUGUCGUAGUCCGGAUUGGAGUCUGCAACUCGACUCCAUGAAGUCGGAAUCGCUAGUAAUCGUAGAUCAGAAUGCUACGGUGAAUACGUUCCCGGGCCUUGUACACACCGCCCGUCACACCAUGGGAGUGGGUUGCAAAAGAAGUAGGUAGCUUAACCUUCGGGAGGGCGCUUACCACUUUGUGAUUCAUGACUGGGGUGAAGUCGUAACAAGGUAACC